RNAcentral lists this ribosomal RNA (494 nucleotides) under uncultured bacterium. RNAcentral describes it as "partial 16S ribosomal RNA". It matches the Rfam family "Bacterial small subunit ribosomal RNA", at positions 28 to 507 of the family's 1533-position model. The record is from RNAcentral.
GACGAACGCUGGCGGCGCGCUUAACACAUGCAAGUCGAACGGAAAGGCCUGCUUUCCCUUGUGGAUUGCGGGUACUCGAGUGGCGAACGGGUGAGUAACACGUGAGUGAUCUGCCCCCAACUUGGGUAUAAGCCUGGGAAACUGGGUCUAAUUCCCGAUAGGACUGCAGGGUGGUGCCUGUGGUGGAAAACGAUUUUCUAGUGGUUGGGGAUGAGCUCGCGGCCUAUCAGCUUGUUGGUGGGGUAAUGGCCUACCAAGGCGGCGACGGGUAGCCGGCCUGGGAGGGUGAACGGCCACAUUAGGACUGAGCUACGGCCCAGACUCCUACGGAAGGCAGCAGUGGGGAAUAUUGCACAAUGGGCGGAAGCCUGAUGCAGCGACGCCGCGUGGGGGAUGACGGCCUGCGGGUUGUAAACUCCUUUCGACCGCGGGGAAGCCACCUGGUUGGAAGGGUGGUGACGGUAGUGGUAGAAGAAGCACCGGCUAACUACGUG